This is a non-coding RNA of Odocoileus virginianus texanus, 760 nucleotides long. Lineage: Eukaryota; Metazoa; Chordata; Mammalia; Artiodactyla; Cervidae. The record is from RefSeq and is a predicted model, not a curated record.
CCUGGCCCGCUCUCCGUCGGUGAAGGACGCGGCUGGCGGAGACAGCUGAGCUGGAGGAGGGGGUCCCGCGUCCCCGGAUGGGCGAAGAUCCAGAGCACAGAGAACACGUUGUCCAUCGUGGGAGACAGGACCUGCCUUACUCCACAAGGGAGCAUCCUUCCCCAGAGGUCCUCACGCAUCACUGCCUCUCCUCUAGGUUUCAUGUCUCUCUGUGUACUUCAGAAAUUCUCAAAGAGAAUAAAGAUGCAACUUCCAUCAUCUUCUAACCUCUGUCACCCUGACUCAUGACCACAGACUUCACUUCUGGAACCACAAGGUGACUCUGUCCCACAAUAACCAAACUCUACCCUGUGAUGAAAUGGUCUGAAACCUAUGUCAUAAAAUCCUGGAAGUCUAGAAUUCAUGGAUUCCUAGAAUGGACUCCAGGCCUUGGAGAAUUCCAGAAUGGAACUCUGGAAGCUCAGAAUGUAAUCCGAGAUUUGUUGAUAGAACCUAGGAAUCUUGGAGAGGACGCCCAGAUUUUCAGAAGAGGCUCUCAGAGCCGGGUCUUUGAGAGAACCCGGUGAGACCAGGUGGCCCUGCGUUGUUGGCUUCUUUGCAAUGAUAAAAACAAAUCUGCUGAAUCAUAUCUUCAUAGAACGACAGGUUGGACGUGAAGAAUAUGGACACAAGAGACAGGGCUGCUAUCCGGUCACUGGCUUACACCACUGGAUGGUGGGGGUCAAGCUCACUAAGACAGAGAUCCUGGGGGAGAAAGAGG